UUUUACAAUGGAGAGUUUGAUCCUGGCUCAGGAUGAACGCUAGCGGCAGGCCUAAUACAUGCAAGUCGAACGGGGCA
This 77-nucleotide ribosomal RNA is filed under the name Hymenobacter jeollabukensis. RNAcentral's name for it is "partial 16S ribosomal RNA". It matches the Rfam family "Bacterial small subunit ribosomal RNA", at positions 1 to 73 of the family's 1533-position model. The record is from RNAcentral. Lineage: Bacteria; Pseudomonadati; Bacteroidota; Cytophagia; Cytophagales; Hymenobacteraceae.